UGUUAUCUGUACUAUUCGCGGCCCUUUCAUUAAGUAAGUGUAACGGAGUUAGACAUGGCCCGUAUUGCCGGUGUCAACAUUCCUGAC
Non-coding RNA from Thalassolituus oleivorans MIL-1, 87 nucleotides. The record is from Rfam. NCBI's taxonomy places the organism in Bacteria, Pseudomonadati, Pseudomonadota, Gammaproteobacteria, Oceanospirillales, Oceanospirillaceae.